RNAcentral lists this ribosomal RNA (440 nucleotides) under uncultured bacterium. Its description in RNAcentral is "partial 16S ribosomal RNA". It matches the Rfam family "Bacterial small subunit ribosomal RNA", at positions 339 to 795 of the family's 1533-position model. The record is from RNAcentral.
CUACGGGUUGCUGCAGUGAGGAAUAUUGCACAAUGGGGGGAACCCUGAUGCAGCAACGCCGCGUGGAGGAUGACGCAUUUCGGUGUGUAAACUCCUUUUAUAUGUCAAGAAAAUGACGGUAGCAUAUGAAUAAGCACCGGCUAACUCCGUGCCAGCGAGCCGCGGUAAUACGGAGGGUGCAAGCGUUACUCGGAAUCACUGGGCGUAAAGGACGCGUAGGCGGGUUGGAAAGUCAGGUGUGAAAUCCUACAGCUUAACUGUAGAACUGCACUUGAAACUUCUAAUCUAGAGUAUGGGAGGGGGAGAUGGAAUUAGUGGUGUAGGUGUAAAAUCCGUAGAUAUCACUAGGAAUACCUAAAGCGAAGGCGAUCUCCUGGAACAUUACUGACGCUAAGGCGUGAAAGCGUGGGGAGCAAACAGGAUUAGAUACCCGUGUAGUC